UGGGGAAUAUUGCGCAAUGGACGAAAGUCUGACGCAGCGACGCCGCGUGUGGGAGGAAGCUCUUCGGGGUGUAAACCACUGUCAGGAGGGAGGAACGGCGCCGGUUCGAACAGUUCCGGCGAUUGACGGUACCUCCAAAGGAAGCGCCGGCUAACUCCGUGCCAGCAGCCGCGGUAAGACGGAGGGCGCAAGCGUUGUUCGGAAUUACUGGGCGUAAAGCGCGGGCAGGCGGUCUGUUAAGUCGUUUGUGAAAAUCCGGGGCUCAACCCCGGAAAUGCAUACGAUACUGGCAGGCUGGAGACUGGUAGAGGCUAGCGGAAUUCCUGGUGUAGCGGUGGAAUGCGUAGAUAUCAGGAAGAACACCUGUGGCGAAGGCGGCUAGCUGGGCCAGUUCUGACGCUCAUCCGCGAAAGCGUGGGGAGCAAACAGGAUUAGAUACCCCCGUAGUCCCUGAGCGGGCUGGCAAGGCGCAU
This 473-nucleotide ribosomal RNA is filed under the name uncultured bacterium. RNAcentral's name for it is "bacterial SSU rRNA". It matches the Rfam family "Bacterial small subunit ribosomal RNA", at positions 355 to 825 of the family's 1533-position model. The record is from RNAcentral.